AGUGAACGCUGGCGGUAGGCCUAACACAUGCAAGUCGAACGGCAGCACAGUAAGAGCUUGCUCUUACGGGUGGCGAGUGGCGGACGGGUGAGGAAUACAUCGGAAUCUACUUUUUCGUGGGGGAUAACGUAGGGAAACUUACGCUAAUACCGCAUACGACCUACGGGUGAAAGCAGGGGAUCUUCGGACCUUUCGCGAUUGAAUGAGCCGAUGUCGGAUUAGCUAGUUGGCGGGGUAAAGGCCCACCAAGGCGACGAUCCGUAGCUGGUCUGAGAGGAUGAUCAGCCACACUGGAACUGAGACACGGUCCAGACUCCUACGGGAGGCAGCAGUGGGGAAUAUUGGACAAUGGGCGCAAGCCUGAUCCAGCCAUACCGCGUGGGUGAAGAAGGCCUUCGGAUUGUAAAACCCUUUUGUUGGGAAAGAAAAGCAGCAGGUUAAUACACCGAUGCUCUGACGGUACCCAAAGAAUAAGCACCGGCUAACUUCGUG
This 492-nucleotide ribosomal RNA is filed under the name uncultured bacterium. RNAcentral describes it as "partial 16S ribosomal RNA". It matches the Rfam family "Bacterial small subunit ribosomal RNA", at positions 29 to 507 of the family's 1533-position model. The record is from RNAcentral.